Aegilops tauschii subsp. strangulata is the source of this 2319-nucleotide RNA transcript. RefSeq lists it as uncharacterized. The record is from RefSeq and is a predicted model, not a curated record. NCBI's taxonomy places the organism in Eukaryota, Viridiplantae, Streptophyta, Magnoliopsida, Poales, Poaceae.
CUGUUCGCUGUCUCAUUUCCUUCCUCCGUGCGGCUCACUGUUUCUUUCUUUCGUCGCUCCAGAGAUGCCUCCCCCUUCCUCUUCCUCAUGCCGCAUCCCUCUUCCUCUUCCUCCCUCGUGCCGCACUCCCCUUCCUCCCUCUUCAUCUGCUUUUUCCUCCGAGGAUCCCACUCCGGCAAAAGAUCGCCGCCCUGGUGGUCAGUGCCUCCUCGUCGGCGUCGGCGUCGUUUAGGGUUCCUUCAAGGUCGGGGUCGUCUAGGGUUCCAUCAAGCUCCGUCAAGUUCGUCAUCUUCAAGAAGUAUUCCAUCGGUACAGCAGAGAGAGGACAAGGGGCUCAUCAAGGCACGCGGUGCUAGGAACUUCCAUUCGACGGCCCCACUGCUUAUUCGACAUCCUAUUUCAAAACAGUCGUGGUGAGCUCUUGGUCUGAGCUCAUGGUCCAUCGAUUUUUUUUCUAUGUAUAUAUCUGUGCACUGUAGGCCAGUGUUCGUUUUUUAAGUGAUAGUAGGUGAUGUGACUAUAGUUUUUGAUAUAGGACGUUAACCUAGUAAUACAAGAUGAAACUUGCAAGAUGUACACAUAUUAGGUUGAUACUUUUUGUUGAUGCCGAGGAAAAAAUAUUUGACUUGAAGAACAUUUUUAAACUUCAGAGAACAUUAUUUAUUAGGGAACAAUUUAGUGUUUUUUUAGAACAUUAUUGAAGGAACAAUAUUCAAGCAACAACAAAAAAUUCUUCACCCCAAGGAACAUUAUUCAACAAACAUUAUUCAAUUAUCAUCAGAGCAAUACUUGUCCCCCCAAAUAAUGUUCCUUUAAUAAUGUUCCCCAGUUAAAUGUUCAUUUUUUUAUUAACCAGGGAAUUAUAGUUCCCCUACAAUUUUUGCUGAUUAAUGUUCCUUUAAUAUGUUCCCCAAAUAUUGUUCAACUUUUUUGUUCCCCCAAUAAUGUUCCCUAAAUAAUGCUUCUUUAAUAUUGUUCUCCAAAAUGUUCCCCAAAUAAUUGUUAAUGCCGAGGAAAAAUUAUUUGACUUGAAGAACAUUUUUAAACUUCAGAGAACAUUAUUUAUUAGGGAACAAUUUAGUGUUUUUUUAGAACGUUAUUGAGGGAACAUUAUUAUAUUCAGAAUGCAGUAAAAAAAUUCCUUGAAGAAUGUUCCCUCAUUAAUGUUCCUUUAAUAAUGUUCCCCAAAUAAAUGUUCAAUUUCUUUUGUUCCCCUAUAAUGUUCUUUGAAGAAUGUCCCUUUAAUAAUGGUCUCCAAUUAAAUGUUUAUUUUUCUUGUCCCCCCAAUAACGUUCCCUGAAUAAUGUUCUCCAAAUAAUGUUCCCUCAUCAAUGUUCCCUUAAUAAUCUAAUUUUUGAUGUUCCCUCAACAAUGUUUGAACUAUUUUGUAAGUGCUAAGCAAUUUUUUAUUGAGGGAACAUUAUUCAUGGAACAAUUAUUUAUUCAAGCUUCGGAGAACAUUGUUCAACUAAUUUCUUUUGGCACCCAGGAACAUUUUGCAACGAACGUUAUCCAGGGAACAUUAUACAGUUAUCAUUAUUUUACAGAACACUAUUCAAGGAACAUUUUUUCUAGUGACAUUAUUUGUUGAUGCCGAGGAAAUAUUUAUUUGACUUGAAGAACAUUUUUAUACUUCAGAGAACAUUUUUUAUUUGAAGAACAUUUUAUUUUAUUUUUUAUUUGAGAACAUUAUCCAAUGAACAUUAUUCAAAGAACAAUUUUUUAUUGAGAAUCUAGUAAAUAUUUCUUCCAAGGAAAUUUAUAUACAACAUUAAGCAGCAAACUUCAAGGUUUUGUUUGCUGCCACAUUCGGAAAUUCUAGUUCUUUCAAGAUAGGAAACUUUGAAUCAAGAUUUGUACCAGCUCCCAAGGUCAAUUUCAGGUAUGACUCAGGAAUUUUCCUUCUUCAGUAUGUUAGCAAGUACAAAGGUCUCGGAUUGGAGGGGUUCUCUAAUGAUGAUUUACAAGCUCUACGUCAAAAUUCCUUUUUGAGAUUGUAACUUGCAAGGACAAUGAAAUUCAGCUGCCGUGAGUAACUUCUUUCCUGCAGAGACAUGGUCUCAUUAAUAUUGUCAACUUCAAGGGAAGUUGCACUGCAAGAUUCAACUCAAAGGAAUACUUCCAUGGGAAAAAUGUUUCCUUAUCGAUAGAGCUAUCUUUUUUUCUCUUGCUGGUCUAGUGAUAGUUUCUUCCAAGACCUUCAGCUGUAAACAAUGUCCGAAAACAGCUGAAGCAGUUUUAUAAACGAGCAGUAAGACAUGUACAUUUUUUUGUCUUUCAUGACGCCUUGGUGAUACUAUCAUCACUCAAUUUCAUCAA